CUAGUAGAGCAAGCAAGACACUGAAAUAGAGAGAGACGAAGAAGAAGAAGAAGGGGUUGCCGGAGUUGAACUCAAUUCAAUCUUUUUCGAAAAUGGUGAGGCCUUCGUCAUCGUCGUCCUCUACGAGCCAGGACGCCCUUGCCCUUUUCAAUUCUCUGAGAUCGGCUUACUCUGCCACUCCUACCGCUCUCAAGAUCAUUGAUCUCUAUGUCGGUUUCGCUGUAUCCACAGCUAUCAUCCAGCCAAAAUGAAGCCUUUUUCUCCAAAGCUCCCCAGCCCCAGCUAUGCCGUGGACUGUCCGCCUCUUCCUCUCCGCCGCUUCCUUUGCAGUUGACGCCUCUUGCCUCCCAAACUACGCCAUCAACCACCCACCAUCGCCUCAUGAACUUGCUGGUGGCAGAAGAGGUACCACGAGGGAUUGAAGAAACGCGGGAAUCAAGCGGAGCUGGUGGUGUUUCCGAAUACCAUUCACAUUUUCUAUGCUUAUCCCGAGUUGGAAGACUAGAGUUUGAAUAAACGUACAACUUGAACAAAAUAUUAACGGAGUCAUUAAUUAUGUAAUGUUUCAAUUUUCAAUUUUGUG
Rosa rugosa (rugosa rose) is the source of this 583-nucleotide long non-coding RNA. RefSeq lists it as uncharacterized. The transcript has 3 exons. Lineage: Eukaryota; Viridiplantae; Streptophyta; Magnoliopsida; Rosales; Rosaceae. The record is from RefSeq and is a predicted model, not a curated record.